CGGCGGACGGGUGAGUAAUGCCUAGGAAUCUGCCGUGGUAGGUGGGGAUAACGCUCGGAAACGGACGCUAAUACCGCAUACGUCCUACGGGAGAAAGCAGGGGACCUUCGGGCCUUGCGCUAUCAGAUGAGCCUAGGUCGGAUUAGCUAGUUGGUGAGGUAAUGGCUCACCAAGGCGACGAUCCGUAACUGGUCUGAGAGGAUGAUCAGUCACACUGGAACUGAGACACGGUCCAGACUCCUACGGGAGGCAGCAGUGGGGAAUAUUGGACAAUGGGCGAAAGCCUGAUCCAGCCAUGCCGCGUGUGUGAAGAAGGUCUUCGGAUUGUAAAGCACUUUAAGUUGGGAGGAAGGGCAGUUACCUAAUACGUAUCUGUUUUGACGUUACCGACAGAAUAAGCACCGGCUAACUCUGUG
Molecule: ribosomal RNA, 416 nt
Filed under: uncultured bacterium
Lineage: Bacteria
Description: bacterial SSU rRNA
Rfam family: Bacterial small subunit ribosomal RNA
Source: RNAcentral